AAUCAACGCUGGCGGCGUGCCUCAGACAUGCAAGUCGAACGAUUAAAGCUCUCUUCGGAGAGUGUAUAGAGUGGCGCACGGGUGAGUAACACGUAAGUAAUCUACCCUCGAGUGGGGAAUAACAACCGGAAACGGUUGCUAAUACCGCAUAAUGCAGCGGCACCGCAAGGUGACAGUUGUUAAAGAUUUAUCGCUUGAGGAGGAGCUUGCGGCAGAUUAGCUAGUUGGUAGGGUAACGGCUUACCAAGGCUACGAUCUGUAACCGGUCUAAGAGGACGGUCGGUCACACUGACACUGAAUAACGGGUCAGACUCCUACGGGAGGCAGCAGUCGGGAAUUUUGGGCGAAUGGGCGGAAAGACCUGACCCAGCAACGCCGCGUGAAGGAUG
This 389-nucleotide ribosomal RNA is filed under the name uncultured bacterium. RNAcentral describes it as "bacterial SSU rRNA". It matches the Rfam family "Bacterial small subunit ribosomal RNA", at positions 32 to 410 of the family's 1533-position model. The record is from RNAcentral.